This 253-nucleotide ribosomal RNA is filed under the name uncultured bacterium. RNAcentral's name for it is "partial 16S ribosomal RNA". It matches the Rfam family "Bacterial small subunit ribosomal RNA", at positions 524 to 776 of the family's 1533-position model. The record is from RNAcentral.
UACGGAGGUCUCAAGCGUUGUUCGGAUUCAUUGGGCGUAAAGGGUGUGUAGGUGGCGCCGUAAGUCGGGUGUGAAAUUUCGGAGCUUAACUCCGAAACUGCAUUCGAUACUGCCGUGCUUGAGGACUGGAGAGGAGACUGGAAUUUACGGUGUAGCGGUGAAAUGCGUAGAUAUCGUAAGGAAGACCAGCGGCGAAGGCGGGUCUCUGGACAGUACCUGACGCUGAGGCACGAAGGCCAGGGGAGCAAACGGG